Myotis daubentonii (Daubenton's bat) is the source of this 2540-nucleotide long non-coding RNA. RefSeq lists it as uncharacterized. Lineage: Eukaryota; Metazoa; Chordata; Mammalia; Chiroptera; Vespertilionidae. The record is from RefSeq and is a predicted model, not a curated record.
CGUGACCGCACAGUAGGAAAGGCAGUGACCUCCCCUGGCCUGCGGGUCUGGACCACGUUCCUUUUUGAAAAGAAGAGAACGUGAGCGCGGGAUGGAGAAAAGCACGCGGGGCAGACAGUGCGCGGGCUGGUGCGGGAGGAAGGGGCAAUGUUCGGAAUAUCAAUCACUCCACGCGCCGCUGACCCGCGAGGGCUGGGGAGGGGGGGCUGGGGGAGGGGGACAAAGGCUCCUCCCGAGCAGACGGCGCAGCGCCCCUCCCUCGAGGUUACAGCUCUGCCCUCGGGCCGGCUCUGGGCGCGGGACUGGCAGAGGGACUCGGGGUGACCAGGUCGCCUGGCUCCUUGGGGUUCGGCAGUCUGCACGCCCGAGCGCUCCGGGUGCAGAGGGGGCGUCUUUCUGCGCCCGCCUCUCCCGGACCCUCCGUGGGGUUCCUGGCCCUGGCACAGCCCCUCUGGGUGGGGUGGGGGUGAAGAAUGUCCUACGGAAGCAGGGUGGGGAUCGCGGAGCAGCCCUCGCCCGGCGCGCGGGGUGCUUUCUGCAGAAGAACCACUUGGGCUCAGAACUCUCCUCCCACUACAGCUCCAGCCCCGGGCGCCGGGGGCAGAGUCCAGGGGGGAGUUGGGGGGCUGGUCCGCCGGAGGGAAGCGCGGGGUGGGCGUCCGGGGUUGCUCCCCGCCCGGGGCGCCCGCGCGCGGCACUUCCUGGUCUGCCCCGCAGCCUCCGCCAGCGCCCCUGGCUCCCAGCCCUGCGCCCCAACUCUGGCGCCUCUAUGUCGGUGCACGCCCGCACCCCUCUCCUUCCCAGCGCCCAGGGUCCCUGUCCCGGGCAGCCUCGCCCUCACCCCGAGCCAGUCCACUCUGCCAGCGUGGCAGCCCGACUCCCCCCCUUUCCCGCGGGGUGCGGCGCCGGGGCCCCGGGGUGAGGCGGCCGCGGGAACGCGAGGGGGGCAUCCCCGAGGCGCGGGCCGACCCUGCGCAAGUUCUCUCCGGGCUCGGAGACCCCCGGUGGGUCCCGCGGGCUCAGCCGGCGGCACUGCAGUCCCCGGGCGGCGGGAGCAGGCGAGGCCAGCGCCAGGCCUGGGAGGGACCGCGCCGGGGCCGGGGUGCGGGGGUGCUCGGGGCGGUACCGCUUUAAAUGCACUUGACUCACCUGCUCCGGCGCGUCCCUGCUCCCCGCUGACAGCUGGGGGCUUUGUUUUCUCCUCCCACCCGGCGGCCCCGCCCCCGCCCACGUGACUCGCCGUCUGCCGCCGCCGCUCGGCGGGUCCGCCCCCGGGAGCCCGGCCCGCGCCGCUCCGCCCCUUCCCGGGGGUGCGGGGCGGAGACCCCAGCGGAGAGAGGUGACCCGCCUGCGGGGCGGUGGGGAGGUGGCACGCUGGUUAGGACCCUAGGGAGCCAGGGUCAACUUAUGCUUCAGCCAAGGUCAGUCAGCUCCAGGCAUUGAUCAUUGAAGCUCUUCUGUGACAUAGGAGCCGGGAAGUGUCUUCCAUCUUGAUUCUACCCUGGGGACACACCAACCAUUAAUAAGUAAGGUUUCAUCAACACAAGAACAUUUGCUGCUUUGGCUGACAUUGGUGAUCAUUCUCCACUUGAGGAGUGAAAAUGUGUCUACGAAGAAGGAAGUAUUUCAGUGAGAUCCAAGUGUCCCAUGUUUCCCCGCAUAAUUGUCUGAAUUAUGUUUUUCACAAAGAAUUUUCUUGUUUUCGAGGGAAUGUUGAAAUGUAGCCUAAUGAGUAAAUAUCUGUCCACAAACAGAGGGGAAAAAGCACUUGUAUCAGUGUGAACUAAUAAAAUCUUGGUUUUACAUAAGCUUUUUGGGUUAUUUUUCUAAAGAACAGAGAUUCUGUCAACUAAACUUGCUUCUGACAUCCCCCGAUACCUCAUGUAUCUAAAAGAGGUAAAAGCAUUGAUGAAUGCUGUUAGCUCUAACAUGCAAUAUGGAUAUAGACUAUUAUAAUGUGUUGCUGGGCACUGAAUCAUGCUUUUGAUCUCAACAAUUUUAUGUUGUCUCUGCCCACACCCAUCAGUGAUAUCCUUUUAAAAACAUGUACCUCUCAUAAAACUGUUCCCAGAUAAAUAUUUUUACAGAACAUAAGCAUUUGCCUAAAACUAGUAUUCUGAGGCUUCAAUCAUACAUUUCCACAAAUAUCUAAGAUGAGUUAUUGAAAACGGGAGACAGAGUUUAUCAAUUCAUAUUUUAAACUGUAUGCUCAAAUACUUUUCAUUUUAUCUGAUUUAUUUUUAGCUCAGAGUGCUUGCUAACCUGUGGUACUGCCUAAGUAUAAAUCAUAGCCUCAACAGACAUGCUGCAGUGAGCCACUUAUGAAUGCAUUGUAAUGCCAUGCAGACAGAGAUGGAAAUGUUCAGUACCAAGAUAUGACAGCAUUUAUCAAGAUGGGGCAUGCAGGAAGCAGCUGAUCAAUGAUUCUCUCAUCACUGAUGUUUCUCUCUCUCUCUCCCUCUCCAUUCCUCUCUGAAGUCAAUAAAAAAUAUAUUAAAAAAAGAAAUCCUAUGUAAUAAAAGCCUAACAUGCUAAGUGUC